GCCACACCAUCGAACUACUUCCCUUGCUGCUUCUCUGAACGCUAACUUGAUGACGUCUUUUGGCGCCAACUUUCAUCAACAACCACCAUUCUUGAUCCUCAGAGUCUGCGAGCUUGGUCUCAGGCAGGCCCGGCUCAGGAGGGUGGGCAAAGGGGCAUUGGCCUAGGGCCCAAAAGAUUUUUUGCAUAAAUAGUAUUGAAAAGGGGCCCAAUAUUUUUAAAAAAAUUGAAGAUAAGGCCCGAAAUUUUUAAGUUAUCAUAUAAUUAUGUAAAAAAAAAAAUUUUUGAUUAUUUUGCCAAGGGCCCAAAAUUCUUUUGAGCCGGGCCUGUCAGGAGCCCAGUUCUCGAUGAGUUUCAAGAAUCGCAUGGCCGUAGAAGGAGGGCAUUUGCUGCAGAGCUUUGAAGGUCCAAUACUUUCUUGAUGACUAGAGGCCGAACACUGUUUUUGACCCCU
RNAcentral lists this long non-coding RNA (453 nucleotides) under Brassica napus (rape). Its description in RNAcentral is "long non-coding RNA (BNAP_LNC020903)". The record is from RNAcentral. Lineage: Eukaryota; Viridiplantae; Streptophyta; Magnoliopsida; Brassicales; Brassicaceae.